Long non-coding RNA from Pecten maximus, 7382 nucleotides. RefSeq lists it as uncharacterized. The transcript has 2 exons. Lineage: Eukaryota; Metazoa; Mollusca; Bivalvia; Pectinida; Pectinidae. The record is from RefSeq and is a predicted model, not a curated record.
UGAAUGAGAGUUAGUUGUGUUGGGUAGAUGAAUGUGAGCUAGUCGUGUUGGGUAGGUAAAUGCGUGUUAGUCGAGUUGGGUAGGUAAAUGCGUGUUAGUCGUGUUGGGUAGGUAAAUGCGUGUUAGCCGAGUCCCGUUGGGUAGGUAAAUGCGUGUUAGCAGUUGGGUAGGUAAAUGCGUGUUAGCAGAGUUGGGUAGGUAAAUACGUGUUAGCAGAGUUGGGUAGGUAAAUGUGUGUUAGCUGAGUUGGGUAGGUAAAUGUGUGUUAGCUGUAUGUAUAACAGGAGGAUCCUUACUAAGGCAUAUUGUGGUUGGGGAGUUUUAUUUAGUCCCCCAAACAAAGAUUUGGAACUCUGUUUUCACCUUUAUUCUUCUUCCUCCACUUCCUGCAAUAAAGGUUUCCAACACUUUUCUCGAAAAUUACGUGUCAGAUCUUGAACAAACUUUGAGGGAUUAUUGCUGAUGGCCUCUAGAUGUGCCAGCAACUUUUGUUUUUCCAAAAACUAUCCAAGAUGGCUCCCACAGCAUCUGAUUGGCUAAAACAUAACUUUUCUUCUAUUUUGGACAUCAGGAUGAAAAUUUGUAGAAUGGAUAAUUAUAAGACAUACUCCAAGAUGAGAAAAACAUGGACAUUGUCCACAAAAUGGCUGCCCAGUGGAGGCUUCUGAUUGGUCUAAAUUUUCCAAUUUGGUAAUGGUAUGUAGGUGUAUUAUGACAAUAAAACACAACUGUGACUUCUAUUUCUGGAUUUAAAAAAAAAAUGGCCACCACUUUUUGGCUUCUAAUUGGUUGAUAUUUAGUUAUUGUCUAAUUUUUCUGAAAUUUGGUACAAAAGAUUUUUGAAGGAUGCCUUAAACAGUUUUGAAUAUCUCAGUUACCAUGGUAAUGAGAUGGAGGCCUCUGCUUGGUCAAAAUUCAGAUGAAUGAUUUUACCGUAAAUUAGUUCAUAGGGGUUUUGAGGGAAACUGAACACAAUAGCAACAGUUUUAAAAGAAGGUUUGGUUGCUAUUGUAAUGAACUGGGAGCCUCUGAUUGGUCAAAAAUGUAGAUAUGGUGUGAUUUUGAUGAAAUUCUUAUGUAGGUGAUUCAUGAUACUACAAAUACAACUGUGACUUCCAUUUCUAGAUUAAAAAAAAAAUUGCUGCCAUUCUGCUAUCUCUUGAUUGGUGGAAGUUUACAUGUUUAAAGGUAUUAUAUGACUCGAGGAACAAUUUUGUGGUUUCUUUAAACUUCGUAUCAGUAGUUUGAGGAGCUUCUGUAAUGGGCUUUGUUACAAUUAACACUUGUUUUGUUUGUUUUUUAUGAUACAUGGAGAUCUGAGUUAUUGGGGAGUAUGUUUUGUACAUUCCAGCCCACUAUAGGUGAGGUGAAUAUGACAUGUGCAUGUUAGUGUAUAGGGCUAUUUAGCUGAUAAAUGUUGCCAAAAUAAUAUUGCAAAUCAUUAACAACCAUGGAACGAUUGUUUUGAGACACAACCAAAUGUUGAUUUAGGACCAAAGAUGUGAUGUACAUGUAUUUACACACAGUCAUUUUGUUGAUCUACCAACAGAGAAAUAUAAAUAAGAAGUCUGCAUGUCUUACUUUCCAAUAUAAGAGUUUGUAUUCUAUGGACCAUUGAUAUAAUAAUUAAGGGAGAUAAUCCUGUGCAUGACGAAAACCACCUGCAAGUCACAAGCUGCUGAAAUGUGUCAAAAUAAAUACCUGCCUUUUGGCCUCAUGAGAUUGUUUCAUCAUGUUGGCAAGCGCAGGAGGAAAAGAUCUUGGAAAGAUUUCAUUAAACCUCCUGAUAAUAACAAACAAGAUAUGAAUUCAAUUAUAUUUUUAUAGAACUUAAGUUCUAUUUUCAUAUAAUAUUAUAUAUGUAGAGUUUAUAAAAUAGUGAUUUUUUCAAUAAGCAAGUCUUAUUUUAAAUACUGAUAGUGAUGUUGUAUUAGAACUGGAAUAUUUAGAUUAUAGAAAGGACAGACUUUGUGACCUCUACCUGUCUGGGGCUGGUAUACCGUGGUAUAACUUAGCAGGACAGACUUUGUGGCCUAUACCUGUCUGGGGCUGGUAUACAGUGGUAUAACUUAGUAGGACAGACUUUGUGGCCUAUACCUGUCUGGGCUGGUAUACCGUGGUAUAACUUAGUAGGACAGACUUUGUGGCCUAUACCUGUCUGGGGCUGGUAUAACUUAGUAGGACAGACUUUGUGGCCUAUACCUGUCUGGGGCUGGUAUAACUUAGUAGGACAGACUUUGUGGCCUAUACCUGUCUGGGGCUGGUAUACAGUGGUAUAACUUAGUAGGACAGACUUUGUGGCCUAUACCUGUCUGGGGCUGGUAUACCGUGGUAUAACUUAGUAGGACAGACUUUGUGGCCUAUACCUGUCUGGGGCUGGUAUACAGUGGUAUAACUUAGUAGGACAGACUUUGUGGCCUAUACCUGUCUGGGGCUGGUAUACAGUGGUAUAACUUAGGACAGACUUUGCGGCCUAUACCUGUCUGGGGCUGGUAUACAGUGGUAUAACUUAGGACAGACUUUGUGGCCUAUACCUGUCUGGGGGUGGUAUAACUUAGUAGGACAGACUUUGCGGCCUAUACCUGUCUGGGGCUGGUAUACCGUGGUAUAACUUAGGACAGACUUUGUGGCUAAUACCUGUCUGGGGCUGGUAUACCGUGGUAUAACUUAGUAGGACAGACUUUGUGGCUAAUACCUGUCUGGGGCUGGUAUACAGUGGUAUAACUUAGUAGGACAGACUUUGUGGCCUAUACCUGUCUAGGGCUGGUAUAACUUAGUAGGACAGACUUUGUGGCCUAUACCUGUCGAGGGGUGGUAUACCGUGGUAUAACUUAGUAGGACAGACUUUGUGGCCUAUACCUGUCGAGGGGUGGUAUACCGUGGUAUAACUUAGUAGGACAGACUUUGUGGCCUAUACCUGUCUGGGGCUGGUAUACCGUGGUAUAACUUAGUAGGACAGACUUUGUGGCCUAUACCUGUCUGGGGCUGGUAUACCGUGGUAUAACUUAGUAGGACAGACUUUGUGGCCUAUACCUGUCUGGGGCUGGUAUACCGUGGUAUAACUUAGUAGGACAGACUUUGUGGCUAAUACCUGUCUGGGGCUGGUAUACCGUGGUAUAACUUAGUAGGACAGACUUUGUGGCCUCUACCUGUCUGGGGCUGGUAUACAGUGGUAUAACUUAGUAGGACAGACUUUGUGGCCUAUACCUGUCUGGGGCUGGUAUACCGUGGUAUAACUAAAGUAGGACAGACUUUGUGGCCUAUACCUGUCUGGGGCUGGUAUACCGUGGUAUAACUUAGUAGGACAGACUUUGCGGCCUAUACCUGUCUGGGGCUGGUAUACCGUGGUAUAACUUAGUAGGACAGACUUUGCGGCCUAUACCUGUCUGGGGCUGGUAUACAGUGGUAUAACUUAGCAGGACAGACUUUGUGGCCUCUACCUGUCUGGGGCUGGUAUACAGUGGUAUAACUUAGUAGGACAGACUUUGUGGCCUAUACCUGUCUGGGGCUGGUAUACCGUGGUAUAACUUAGUAGGACAGACUUUGUGGCCUAUACCUGUCUGGGGCUGGUAUACAGUGGUAUAACUUAGCAGGACAGACUUUGUGGCCUCUACCUGUCUGGGGCUGGUAUACAGUGGUAUAACUUAGCAGGACAGACUUUGUGGCCUCUACCUGUCUGGGGCUGGUAUACAGUGGUAUAACUUAGUAGGACAGACUUUGUGGCCUAUACCUGUCUGGGGCUGGUAUACCGUGGUAUAACUUAGUAGCACAGACUUUGUAGCCUAUACCUGUCUGGGGCUGGUAUACCGUGGUAUAACUUAGUAGGACAGACUUUGUAGCCUAUACCUGUCUGGGGCUGGUAUACCGUGGUAUAACUUAGGACAGACUUUGUAGCCUAUACCUGUCUGGGGCUGGUAUACCGUGGUAUAACUUAGUAGAACAGACUUUGUGGCCUAUACCUGUCUGGGCUGGUAUACUGUGGUAUAACUUAGGACAGACUUUGUGGCCUAUACCUGUCUGGGGGUGGUAUAACUUAGUAGGACAGACUUUGUGGCCUAUACCUGUCUGGGGGUGGUAUAACUUAGUAGGACAGACUUUGUGGCCUAUACCUGUCUGGGGCUGGUAUACAUUGGUAUAACUUAAUAGAACAGACUUUGUGGCCUGUAUAGGGAGGUAUGGCAUGUAUGCUGUCUGUCUGGGGCUGGUAUACCCUGGUAUGUUAUAUAAAUGUAGAAUUCUAUUUUACCAGAGACAGAUGCACUGGUGCAUUUCAGAUUAAAUAUAUAUAUAUAUACAUGAGUAGUUUUAUAGAUUGAUUAUAAUAUAGGCACUUAGAUAACAGAUUAUUUAUGGGCGUAUGUUGAACCAUACAGAUGUGGGUUGUGUCAAAAUGUUCAAAGUUGAUUGGAUGAGAGUGAUUAUUUUGACAGAGAUUUUUUGCCAAAGUGCUGAAAUAGAUGCUGUUUUGAGUUAUAUUUGAGUGUGUGUGGAUGGAGUGAUGCAAAUUUAUUGUAGACAACAAAUUUAUAAGUACAUGGUUUUAGUAUGGUGAUAACCUAGUUGUAAUUGAGCCAGUCCAGGGACUAGAUGUUCAAUGCCAGAUUGAUGAAAACAUAAAAUAGAUUUAAAAGUAUGUGUUUGACGGCAAGAUUUACUGAAGUACAUGUAUUUGUAAAUUUCUCGUAAUAACCAACCAUUGAAGGCUGGUCCCAUAUAUUCCUGUGACUGCUAUAUUGGAUCUAGUUAACCAUUGAAGGCUGGUCCCAUAUAUUCCUGUGACUGCUAUGUUUACUAUGACUUGUGAUCUCAGCCUGUUGCUAAUCCGACGUUGAACAGCUGGUCCCAGAGGUUUUGCGACUGCUACAAUUACUAGAUGGUAUUUCCAGGAAUCGAUGUACAAACAUAUGUACCCUGUCUGAGUCAUUAAACAGUGUCUUCCCCAUUUGCCUUGUGGAACACCUAUAGUGCUGUGUACACAGAAUAUUGCCAUACAUUUAAUGUUGUACCACUCAAAUGACAUUUUUAAAAGAAUCUGCAUUUUAUAAAGUUGCUGAAAUGAUUCUUUUUUCUUUUGGUCAUCAGGUUACUGUAUUAUGAAAAACUUGACAUUGUCAGUAAUUUUGUGUUGUGAUGGAAAUGUGUCAUAUCAAUGUAUCUGUUGUCAUGGAGUUAUACAUGUAUAUGUCUUUGUGUUAUAAAGAUGUAUGUUGUUGUCAUGGAGAAGUACAUUGUUGUCGUGGAGAUAUAUUAUAAUAUUGUUUUCAUGGAAAUGUACAUUGUUGUAUUAAGACAAAAUUGUUAUUGAGCACUGAUUGUACACAUCAUGACAGAUCUCAUCUUGUAUAAAUAGAAAAUGUAUCUUAUUGUAUCGCAUACAUGUUUUUAAAAGUUAGAAAGGUUGGACAUUCACCAGUCGAGUCAGAUGACUGGAAUGUAUAUAGAUCCUGUUUUUAGUUGUUAUCAUUUUGCACAAUUUGUUUACAUGUAUAUUUUGCUAAAAGCUUUUAUAAAUUUUAUAGAAAUUGUAUAGUAUUGUUUUUGAAGCUAAUUUUCAUUAUGUUUAUCACUGCCUUGGUGUUACAGAGGUUACUUCAGCACCAGGGUGUUAGAUUGUACAUACUGCACUAGAUAGAGACGUCCUCGUCUAUUCUCAACAGAUAGGGUGAUCAGGCUAAUAUAUACUGCCAUCCAUCAAUUCCUAGACACUACAAAACAUAUUUUGAAAUUCAAUUGAUCUGAUUAAAUAAUUGAAUAUUGUAAUUUUUGUCUGAUAACUUCUUACCAUCAUACUUCAAUAGUAUAUCAGUAGUUGUUGACAAUGAAAAUGCCGCACUUUUGCAAUAAUAUGUAUCUUUUAGAAAUUGUAAUUUAUAUAAAUUUAGAGCAUUUCUUUACAGAAUAAAAUUUAUCAAAAGGAUCCUUCUCAAGAAUGAAAUUUUAUGGUACAUAUGUUUAAAAUAUUUUUUAUAAAGUUUUGAAUAUCUUGGAAAAGAGGUGAUGGAACAUCAUGGAGGUUGGCUAUUUUCUUAACAAUUUGCUAGUGUCAUUGAAAAAUUAAGAAACUUCAAGAAAUUGCAAAGUUAAAAAUUCUUCGUUUUCUGAUAAUGGUGAUAAUGUACCAAGGAGUCAAAAGUGUAGGAUAGCAGUGUAUUUCAUAUGUAACAUUUAACUCAAACUUCCAUGUUAGUGGCCUGCACAUUUAUAUUUCGGUUUACUGAUGGAUCUUUAAAUUUUGUCCGGUGCCUAAACCUAUGACUGUCGAUCUCCUUCCUUACUCAUAUAUUAAGUGCUGCCAUAGCUGGUCUCUUUUUACAAGCUUGUGGUUUUGGUUGUCAUCAGGAUACACACUUUUUGUUAUUCCUUAACUACAUGUAAUCUUGUUACUUCAUUUUGGUGAGGGGUUAAUUUACAAUUUUGGGAUUCAAGCAUUAGCAGAGCAUGACUAACUGUGAUUUACCACACACAAAAUGUUGUUUUUCUUGAAAUUUCAUUUGUGAAAAUCUUUCUUUUACCCAAAUAUUUUACUUGAAGAUCCCCUGAAAUGUUAUUUUUGAAGAUUUUGACCUAGAUUACAGUUAAUAAGGCCUAUCAAAAUCUCCGACAACCAGGACAGUGCUCACUAACCUACCAAUUUUGUUAACUCGAGAAAAUUCUAACUUUACCUUCAGCUUGCUAAGUUUUAUAGGUGCUGGGGUUGUACGGAUGUCCCAACUGUAUACUACCUGUAUUAUACUGAAUCAUUAUCACUGUCAAGUGUUUAAACAACUAUGUAGAUACAGAUACUUUUUUGUCAUGGUAAUUCGUUUAAAUCAACAUUCCAUCUAUAAGAUGAACUAGGAUAAUGUGUCUAAAUUUACAUUCUAUCUGUAAGUUGUACUUGGAUGACGUGUCUAAAUUUACAUUCUAUCUGUAAGUUGUACUUGGAUGACGUGUCUAAAUUUACAUUCUAUCUAAGUUGUACUGGUAAUGUAUCUUAAUUUACAUUCUAUCUGUAAGUUGUACAGGUAAUGUAUCUUAAUUUACAUUCUAUCUGUAAGUUGUACUGGUAACGUAUCUUAAUUUACAUUCUAUCUGUAAGUUGUACUGGUUACGUACAUUUGUAUCUUAAUUCACAUUCUAUCUGUAAGUUGUACUGGUUACGUACAUUUGUAUCUUAAUUCACAUUCUAUCUGUAAGUUGUACUGGUUACGUACAUUUGUAUCUUAAUUCACAUUCUAUCUGUAAGUUGUACUGGUUACGUACAUUUGUAUCUUAAUUCACAUUCUGUCUGUGUUAGUGGGAGAGUAGUUAUAUAUUAAGUUACAGGAGAACUGAUCACUCUGAAAUAUCUUUAACAUUCAGUGACGUACAUUUCAAUAAAUAUAUUUUUUGUACAAAGAUUA